RNAcentral lists this ribosomal RNA (460 nucleotides) under uncultured bacterium. RNAcentral describes it as "partial 16S ribosomal RNA". It matches the Rfam family "Bacterial small subunit ribosomal RNA", at positions 338 to 795 of the family's 1533-position model. The record is from RNAcentral.
CCUACGGGGGGCAGCAGUGAGGAAUAUUGGUCAAUGGACGAGAGUCUGAACCAGCCAAGUAGCGUGAAGGAUGACUGCCCUAUGGGUUGUAAACUUCUUUUAUAUGGGAAUAAAAUGUUCCACGUGUGGGAUUUUGUAUGUACCCUAUGAAUAAGGAUCGGCUAACUCCGUGCCAGCAGCCGCGGUAAUACGGAGGAUCCGAGCGUUAUCCGGAUUUAUUGGGUUUAAAGGGAGCGUAGGUGGAUUGUUAAGUCAGUUGUGAAAGUUUGCGGCUCAACCGUAAAAUUGCAGUUGAAACUGGCAGUCUUGAGUACAGUAGAGGUGGGCGGAAUUCGUGGUGUAGCGGUGAAAUGCUUAGAUAUCACGAAGAACUCCGAUUGCGAAGGCAGUUCACUGGACUGCAACUGACACUGAGGCUCGAAAGUGUGGGUAUCAAACAGGAUUAGAUACCCCUGUAGUC